UCAGACGAUGCGUCAUGCAUAUCAAUAAGCGGAGGAAAAGAAACUAACAAGGAUUCCCUCAGUAACGGCGAGUGAAGCGGGAAGAGCUCAAAUUUGAAAUCUUGAAAGGUCACCUUUCACGAAUUGUAGUUUAAAGAAGUGUUUUCUGUUACGAUCGUAAUAUAAGUUCUUUGGAAUAGGACAUCACAGAGGGUGAGAAUCCCGUCAAUGAUUGCGAUUUGUAGCUUUGUGAUACACUUUCAAAGAGUCGGGUUGUUUGGGAAUGCAGCCCAAAACGGGAGGUAAAUUUCUUCUAAGGCUAAAUAUUGGCGAGAGACCGAUAGCGAACAAGUACCGUGAGGGAAAGAUGAAAAGAACUUUGAAAAGAGAGUUAAAUAGUACGUGAAAUUGUCAAAAGGGAAGCGUUUAACACCAGUGUUGUUUUCUGAAAAUCAACCUCUGUUAGCUUUAUGCAUGUUUGUUUAGACCUAAUCAGCUAUCUUGCAUGUUCUAUUGUUUGCAGUGGUGCACUUUUCAGUUUACAGGUCAACAUCAGUUUUUUUUACCGUAAAAAAGUUAAAGAAAGGUAGCUCAUGGCUCCGGUCGUGAGUGUUAUAGUCUUUUUCCUAUGCGGUAGGAGAGACUGAGGUCUGCAGUGUAGGCUAUUUGGCUAGAUACUCAGGUGCUAUGUGAUACCAUUUCAUAAACAACUUGUUGAUUAUGUUUUGUCUAUUGCAUACUCGCUUGUACUAUCAUACCUACGCUUAGGAUGUUGAAGACUCUACAGAGAUA
Molecule: ribosomal RNA, 771 nt
Filed under: uncultured Neocallimastigales
Lineage: Eukaryota; Fungi; Neocallimastigomycota; Neocallimastigomycetes; Neocallimastigales
Description: partial large subunit ribosomal RNA
Rfam family: Eukaryotic large subunit ribosomal RNA
Source: RNAcentral